UACGUAGGUGGCAAGCGUUAUCCGGAAUUAUUGGGCGUAAAGCGCGCGUAGGCGGUUUUUUAAGUCUGAUUUGAAAGCCCGCGGCUCAACCGUGGAGAGUGAUUGGAAACUGGAAAGCUUGAGUGCAGAAGAGGAAAGUGGAAUUCCAUGUGUAGCGGUGAAAUGCGCAGAGAUAUGGAAGAACACCAGUGGCGAAGGCGACUUUCUGGACUGCAACUGACGCUGAUGUGCGAAAGCGUGGGGAGCAAACAGG
RNAcentral lists this ribosomal RNA (253 nucleotides) under uncultured bacterium. Its description in RNAcentral is "partial 16S ribosomal RNA". It matches the Rfam family "Bacterial small subunit ribosomal RNA", at positions 524 to 776 of the family's 1533-position model. The record is from RNAcentral.